GUCCAUGGCCAUACUACCAUGAAUGAGCCCGAUCUCAACUGAUCUCAGAAGCCAAGCAGAGUUGGGCCUGGUUAGUACUUGGAUGGAGGUGUUAUAAGUAAUGUGGAUU
Molecule: ribosomal RNA, 109 nt
Filed under: Oryctolagus cuniculus (rabbit)
Lineage: Eukaryota; Metazoa; Chordata; Mammalia; Lagomorpha; Leporidae
Source: RNAcentral